RNAcentral lists this ribosomal RNA (470 nucleotides) under uncultured bacterium. Its description in RNAcentral is "bacterial SSU rRNA". It matches the Rfam family "Bacterial small subunit ribosomal RNA", at positions 335 to 799 of the family's 1533-position model. The record is from RNAcentral.
ACUCCUACGGGAGGCAGCAGUAGGGAAUCUUCCACAAUGGACGAAAGUCUGAUGGAGCAACGCCGCGUGAACGAUGAAGGCCUCGGUCGUAAGUUCUGUUGUAAGGGAAGAACAAGUGCCGCAGGCAAUGGCGGCACCUUGACGGUACCUUGCGAGAAAGCCACGGCUAACUACGUGCCAGCAGCCGCGGUAAUACGUAGGUGGCAAGCGUUGUCCGGAAUUAUUGGGCGUAAAGCGCGCGCAGGCGGCCUCUUAAGUCUGAUGUGAAAGCCCCGGCUCAACCGGGGGAGGGCCAUUGGAAACUGGGAGGCUUGAGUAUAGGAGAGAAGAGUGGAAUUCCACGUGUAGCGGUGAAAUGCGUAGAGAUGUGGAGGAACACCAGUGGCGAAGGCGACUCUUUGGCCUAUAACUGACGCUGAGGCGCGAAAGCGUGGGGAGCAAACAGGAUUAGAUACCCUGGUAGGAUAGCG